RNAcentral lists this ribosomal RNA (254 nucleotides) under uncultured bacterium. RNAcentral describes it as "partial 16S ribosomal RNA". It matches the Rfam family "Bacterial small subunit ribosomal RNA", at positions 524 to 776 of the family's 1533-position model. The record is from RNAcentral.
UACAGAGGGUGCGAGCGUUGUCCGGAAUCACUGGGCGUAAAGGGCGCGUAGGUGGUGGCUUAAGCGUGCGGUGAAAGCUCGGAGCUCAACUCCGAGUCGGCCGUGCGAACUGGGCUCACUGGAGCAUAGUAGAGGCAGGUGGAAUUCCGGGUGUAGCGGUGGAAUGCGUAGAGAUCCGGAGGAACACCAAUGGCGAAGGCAGCUCGCUGGGACGUGACUGACGCUGAGACGCGAAAGCGUGGGGAGCAAACAGG